This is a long non-coding RNA of Syngnathus typhle (broad-nosed pipefish), 713 nucleotides long. RefSeq lists it as uncharacterized. The record is from RefSeq and is a predicted model, not a curated record. NCBI's taxonomy places the organism in Eukaryota, Metazoa, Chordata, Actinopteri, Syngnathiformes, Syngnathidae. The transcript has 2 exons.
CCCUACAGGUAACAUGUUUGGGUUUGUCUUCAGUUCAUUUUGUUAUAUCUGCUUUACACAGGAAAACAACUUCACAUCCACCCAGUCAUUCACAUUUAUCCACUACAUACACAACUGACUCCUACUCACAGUUACAUACGUUGCAUUUAUUUUGUUAUUGAACUAUUUUUAGUAUUUGUGAAAUAAACCAUUUUGAUUGGCCUGAGCCGUUUGAGUUAUUUUCCCCACAGUUUGUGUUGUGACUUGCUGUUGAGCCAGGCUUGUGACACUCUUCCCGAGCCACACCAAAGUAAAGAAGUGAAAGCCAAUGAAGCGUCAGCCACAAGGGAACUUUGGAGGGGUGGAUCAAUCCGGCAGGCAGCGUGACUCUGGACCCCCACUACCUAGAGGAUGCGCUUUGAACAAUCUGGCUAGGGUCAUUCUCCCUGCGCUUCAUCAUCUUAAAGGUCAGACAAUCCAAAUAGCUUGGAAGACACUUCAGUUGCAGAAUUGCCAUGAACCCACAGCUGACCAUGAAGAGCGUCUCCACCGGGCUUCCAGAGAGGUCACAAAAACAGCGGUCAUGUUAAGCAUGGGAUUGUGUGCAUUGCAGUUCUUAAUUUAUGACACAGAGUGGCGCUGCUCUAAGCAGGCAAUCACUUGAGACUUGGAGGCGUGGUGUCACAACAAUGUACCAGGCACACUGGGAAGGAAAAAUAAAUCACUCAAGUCGA